GGAAAGGUGGCAGAGUGGCCGAACGCGCACGCUUGGAAAGCGUGUUUACCGUAAGGUAACGUGGGUUCGAAUCCCACCCUUUCCG
RNAcentral lists this transfer RNA (85 nucleotides) under Bacteroidia bacterium. RNAcentral describes it as "tRNA-Ser". It matches the Rfam family "tRNA". From Rfam's summary of the family: Transfer RNA (tRNA) molecules are approximately 80 nucleotides in length. Their secondary structure includes four short double-helical elements and three loops (D, anti-codon, and T loops). Lineage: Bacteria; Pseudomonadati; Bacteroidota; Bacteroidia. The record is from RNAcentral.